This 459-nucleotide ribosomal RNA is filed under the name uncultured bacterium. Its description in RNAcentral is "partial 16S ribosomal RNA". It matches the Rfam family "Bacterial small subunit ribosomal RNA", at positions 338 to 795 of the family's 1533-position model. The record is from RNAcentral.
CCUACGGGAGGCUGCAGUGAGGAAUAUUGGUCAAUGGUCGGGAGACUGAACCAGCCAAGCCGCGUGAGGGAUGAAGGUACAGAGUAUCGUAAACCUCUUUUGUCAGGGAACAAAGGCGGGGACGUGUCCCCGGAUGAGUGUACCUGAAGAAAAAGCAUCGGCUAACUCCGUGCCAGCAGCCGCGGUAAUACGGAGGAUGCGGGCGUUAUCCGGAUUUAUGGGGGUUAAAGGGUGCGAAGGCGGUCUGUUAAGUCCGCGGUCAAAGCCCGGGGCUCAACCCCGGCCCGCCGUUGAAACUGGCAGUCUCGAGUUGGAGAGAAGUAUGCGGAAUGCGCGGUGUAGCGGUGAAAUGCAUAGAUAUCGCGCAGAACUCCGAUUGCGAAGGCAGCAUGCCGGCUCCACACUGACGCUGAGGCACGAAAGCGUGGGUAUCGAACAGGAUUAGAUACCCCAGUAGUC